RNAcentral lists this ribosomal RNA (383 nucleotides) under uncultured eukaryote. RNAcentral describes it as "partial 18S ribosomal RNA". It matches the Rfam family "Eukaryotic small subunit ribosomal RNA", at positions 592 to 976 of the family's 1831-position model. The record is from RNAcentral.
CAAUAGCGUAUAUUAAAGUUGUUGCAGUUAAAAAGCUCGUAGUUGGAUUUCUGGUGGGAGCGAUCGGUCUGGCGCUUAGCGCGAGUACUUGCAUCGUCUCCGGCCAUCCUUGGGGAGAGUCUGUCUGGCAUUAGGUUGUCGGGCAGAGGAUCCUCAUCGUUUACUGUGAAAAAAUUAGAGUGUUCAAAGCAGGCUUAUGCCGUUGAAUAUAUUAGCAUGGAAUAAUAAGAUAGGACUUUGGUACUAUUUUGUUGGUUUGCGCACCAAAGUAAUGAUUAAUAGGGACAGUUGGGGGCAUUUGUAUUCCGGCGCUAGAGGUGAAAUUCUUAGAUUGCCGGAAGACAAACUGCUGCGAAAGCGUCUGCCAAGGAUGUUUUCAUUGA